GGGGCGCUUCGUCGCUGCAUCCAUGUGGGUACAAAGGAUUGGCCCGUCGUUUCCAUUGUUUAGAAGAAAGAAAAAAAUGUGUUCGCUUGCCCUGCCCUCAUUCCCCAUCCGCACAUCCCUCUCCCUCCCUCGUCUGCCGCCGCCACCACCACCACCGGCGACCUCCUCCAUGGUUGCCACCCCACCCCCUUCUCUCCCCCCUUACCUUCUCCUCAUCAGCGACCUCCUUCCCUCCCCCUCACCGGAUCCGAGGCGUGCGGGCGCGGAGGCGAGCUUCUUCAGCGGUGUCCGCCUCCCUCUCAUCUCCUCUGCUACUGCUCCGCCUCUCCAACCGCCCCGGGUCGCAGCCGCACCGCACGACGGCAGGCCAGGCGAGCUGCACCGCACCAGGUGGGCUAGGGCGAUCUCCAACGCGAGCGCGCGCACCCGUUGCCCACGCCAGCGUGGUCCCCGGCCCCGAGCAACAGGAACACAUGGUUCCUACCCGGGUCGCCGUAGCCGACACCGUCAAAGAGAGGUGGCGGUGUGGACAAGGACGCCAUGGCUGUCUUCGCCGAGAGCGUCCGCAUCUUCAUCCACUGUCUCUCCACCAUGACCAUGAGUAGGGUUGCUCAUCAUUAAGAAGUGUGUUUGUUCAUGGAUAGUUGCACAGUGGAGGAAGAAUUUGGUUAUUUGGAGUGUGCACUGGAGUUAUUGGAAGAUAAUUCCAUUACUAGAUCACAACUUUUGGGACAUAAGUACAGGUGUUUGAUGAAAGUUCAGCAACAUCCAAGCAUGCUCAACUCCAGUUCGCCAACACUCAAAAUUUAAACAAAACGAGAACAUCGAGUGUGCACUACUGAUGCCAUCAUGGCAUUAUUAUGUCACCAUGAACAUUGGGGAUCCGGCCAAGCCUUACUUCCUGGGUAGCCCAAGUUUGCUUGACUGUUGGUUGUGCAGUCCUUUAUUCUGUAACUGUACCUUGACUAUCAAGGCAUGCAGUGCCAUUUGUUUCUUGUAAACUUGUCUUACCUUUCAUGCAUUUGUCUGUUUAGAUAUUGUAAUUUGAUUUCCCGCUUCUCCGUAGAACAAAGGAGGAGGUAUGGCAUGCAAUCUAUUGGAAAUGUGUUGAUGUACUUCUUAACAGGAAGGUUGUUGACAAUAACCACACGUAAUUUUCUGGCAUCUAUGCUAUUCUCUGUACUAACACAUGCUGGUGUUGCUGUCAGUCUUCCAUGGCAGGUCUGAAAGUUGGGAAUAGAAGCAUAAAUAUGAGAAAAUCAACGAAAUAAAAAUUGCUACCAUUUAGGCAUCUUAUUUAUUGUAUUCUCUUACAUGUAGGUCCUCUGUCAUGAAUAUCCUACUGAAUUUGCAUCUUAUUUUCAUUACUACCGCUCACUGCGUUAUGAAAAUACGUCAGACUAUCAGAUCUCAAGAAAUUGUUCUGCUUGAGAGUGCAGAUGGCGUAAGGCAGGAAAGGAAAAAGGCUUUUUGUGGUGAUCGGGAUCAAUACCGCCUUCGGUAGCAAGAAGCGUCGUGAUUCUGUCAGGGGGACCUGGAUGCCUCAAGGUGAGAAACUCAAGAAAUUGGAAGAGGAAAGGGGAGUCGUCAUUUGAUUUAUGACCGCUUCAUUUCGUGUUUCCUCUGUGUGGUGUGAGGUGCGUGUUGUUUUGAGAGCUUGAAGCAAGCAGAACGCCUAAGGAGCGUCCUGGGGAUGACAGAGGCAUUGGCGACGACAUCAGGCGAGAGAUGAAGACGACAUCGAUCAAGAGCUGCUUGCACAACCAGAGGCGGCAUGGGCUCAACGCAAGUGGACCAUCAUCCAGCACGUCUUGUUCCUGUCCAUGCGACAUUUCCUCAUACAUGAGGGCUACAUCAUUUACAAAUUUUGAUUAUGUACGCCUACAAGGUAUUUGUUGAAAAUCCCAGAGGGCUGGCAGGGAAGGAGUGGUCUAUAUAAGCCAUGUGAUUCCAUUCUUCAAAAAAUCAGUACCAGACAAUCAUAACAAGAUGAUUUUGAGAUUAACGAGAAUCCAUGAGAUGAAUAAAAGUAUGAAGAAACAAGGAAUUCUGUCACAGGAGAAACUGUGGUACAACACUUCAACACGGCACAGGAGGCAGAUCAGGGCAACUUCAAGGAUAAGGCAACAUCUGCAGACCUGGAGGUGGUUGAGGUGACCUUGCUGUUGGAGUGGUUUGCCGAAAAUUAUCGGCAGUUUGGUUGCACGCUGGAGCUUAUCACAAACAACACACAGGAUCUCAGUUCUGUACGGGCUAUGGUGGGAUAGGAGGGAUCCUGCGCUACCGGGUUGAGGUGAACGCUUACGAAGACACACUUGAUAAGGAGUAUGAUGAAGACUUUGAAGACCAGUCAACUGAAACUCCAGUGAAUUCAGUACAGGAGGAGCAUGUCCUAGCCCGGAACCGGAACGCGCUACGCGCCACAGCAGGAGGCUGAGGCAUCUACAAGCUCAUCGAGGAAAGCUUAAGGAAGACAACGAGAAGACUUGAGAAAUGAUGAUAUAAAGUAUGCUGCUGUUGCAUGAGUUAAGUCCUCUCAGCGUGAUCUAGACAAAUCUAAGACAAGUAAUUUGGGAUGGAGGUAAUACAAACCAAAGUAAUUUUGCCCAACAAUCACCAAGCCACAUACAUGCGACAUUGUACCGAGUAGGCAAUCCAACUUUCUUUUGACAGUGAGUAGGAAAAAAAUGGCAUGACUUCAAGUGCGACCACUAGAACUGUGUGAGAUACCCUUUUUUGUAAUAGAUGAUGCGUCAUCAACACAUCCUGAUAGUGAGCUGUGUUUGAACCUAUGGAGAUUGCUUCUGUAGACAAGCUUUACAAGAUCUUCGAGAGAGGCCAGCUAACACGUAGGCCAUCAGUCACUUCAUAUGUAGAGAAGGGAUGGACAGCGCGACUGACGCCUUUGCUGGUUCCUUCUGGCACGUGUAUAUAUAAUGUGGUGGCACUAUCAAAGUUGAAGUACUGAUUGUGCCCAUUCCAAAUGAACUGUUUCUCUGAACUUUGUUCUUAAAUAGACACAUCGGGUCAUCCCUCCUCGGUAAAGGGGUUAGUUUGUUUGUUCUUUCAUCAGCUCACUCCAAGCUUGAUUACAUGGAGCAUUAUGAAAAGGUUCCUUGGAUCUUCUUGGUCUGCAACAACUGUUGAUGCUGG
This 3153-nucleotide ribosomal RNA is filed under the name Triticum aestivum (bread wheat). Its description in RNAcentral is "partial small subunit ribosomal RNA". The record is from RNAcentral. Lineage: Eukaryota; Viridiplantae; Streptophyta; Magnoliopsida; Poales; Poaceae.